GCGCCCGUAGCUCAAUUGGAUAGAGCAUCAGCCUUCUAAGCUGAGGGUUGGAGGUUCGAGUCCUCCCGGGCGCGCCA
This 77-nucleotide transfer RNA is filed under the name Gammaproteobacteria bacterium. Its description in RNAcentral is "tRNA-Arg". It matches the Rfam family "tRNA". From Rfam's summary of the family: Transfer RNA (tRNA) molecules are approximately 80 nucleotides in length. The record is from RNAcentral. Lineage: Bacteria; Pseudomonadati; Pseudomonadota; Gammaproteobacteria.